GAGGGUAUAGCUCAGUGAUACAGCAUGUGCCUGGUGAGCACAAGGUUCUGGGUUCAAUCCCCAGUACUUCUCU
This is a non-coding RNA of Camelus ferus (Wild Bactrian camel), 73 nucleotides long. The record is from Rfam. Lineage: Eukaryota; Metazoa; Chordata; Mammalia; Artiodactyla; Camelidae.